UAGGUGUUGACUGAGUGGCUUAAGGUGUUGAUCUGCUAAAUCAAUUAUAUUAAUUUAAUAUACAUGGGUUCGAAUCCCAUACACCUCU
Molecule: transfer RNA, 88 nt
Filed under: Paramoeba pemaquidensis
Lineage: Eukaryota; Discosea; Flabellinia; Dactylopodida; Paramoebidae
Description: tRNA-Ser
Rfam family: tRNA
About the family: Transfer RNA (tRNA) molecules are approximately 80 nucleotides in length. Their secondary structure includes four short double-helical elements and three loops (D, anti-codon, and T loops). Further hydrogen bonds mediate the characteristic L-shaped molecular structure. tRNAs have two regions of fundamental functional importance: the anti-codon, which is responsible for specific mRNA codon recognition, and the 3' end, to which the tRNAs corresponding amino acid is attached (by aminoacyl-tRNA synthetases). tRNAs cope with the degeneracy of the genetic code in two manners: having more than one tRNA (with a specific anti-codon) for a particular amino acid; and 'wobble' base-pairing, i.e. permitting non-standard base-pairing at the 3rd anti-codon position.
Source: RNAcentral